UGGGGAAUAUUGGACAAUGGGCGCAAGCCUGAUCCAGCCAUGCCGCGUGGAUGAUGAAGGCCUUAGGGUUGUAAAGUCCUUUCGACGGGGAAGAUAAUGACGGUACCCGUAGAAGAAGCCCCGGCUAACUUCGUGCCAGCAGCCGCGGUAAUACGAAGGGGGCUAGCGUUGCUCGGAAUCACUGGGCGUAAAGCGCACGUAGGCGGCUUUUUAAGUCAGGGGUGAAAUCCUGGAGCUUAACUCCAGAACUGCCUUUGAUACUGAAAAGCUAGAGUCCGGAAGAGGUGAGUGGAACUGCGAGUGUAGAGGUGAAAUUCGUAGAUAUUCGCAAGAACACCAGUGGCGAAGGCGGCUCACUGGUCCGGUACUGACGCUGAGGUGCGAAAGCGUGGGGAGCAAACAG
This 403-nucleotide ribosomal RNA is filed under the name uncultured bacterium. RNAcentral describes it as "bacterial SSU rRNA". It matches the Rfam family "Bacterial small subunit ribosomal RNA", at positions 355 to 775 of the family's 1533-position model. The record is from RNAcentral.